GGCUUCUUAAACAGGACAGAGGUCCAGGGUGACUUCCCAUGGCACACAAGGCAGCGGGUAUGGCUGGGACUUGGAACCCUGGUCAUGGGACCUGGGUACUUGCCGCUCUCCAUCCCUUCUGCCUUCCGGUGAGCAGAGGCUGAUAUGGUCAGCAGGAGGUGAGGGGGUGCCUUUGAUAUCAGGAUCGUCAACUCUCCUAUGGCCCGAGUCCAGCAAGGCACUGCCACCUUGUCCAGACCAUGCUCUGUGUGAAUCUUGGUCCACCCUUCCCCUACCUGUAUCAUUUUGGAAGAUUGCUAUCAGGUUUCCUGCAGGAAUCCCUAUCAGUGGUCUGUUUGGAAAGAUUGCCUGUUUAUUUGUCUUCAGAAAGCAGGACAUGCAGUAUGACAUAAAUAGAGAAAGUGCUCGGCAGUGUCUGUUCACACAGUAUCCUUGAGCCUCAGACAGACGAGGAGACAGCGGGGCAGGUACCCACAGCUCUUCCCGAAGCUUCCAUUGCAGUGAGGGACCAGGAGCUGGCUUCUCUUGCUGAGGAUCCCCAGGUAGACCUUGUCAGGGAUCACUUGGAGAAGUCCUGAGUUGUCCUUACCUGCUCACGUCUUGUUGGCUCCUCCAAGCAGUCGACAUGAGUCAUACAGUUUCCUGUGGGUGACCUGUCUGUAGGUCUGCCAUCCGUCUGUCCUGGCAGCGUAUACACUGUGAACUGUCACAGGCAGAGCUGAGCCCGUCUUUGGUCUUAGUAUCUGGCAUGGUGUCUGGCAUGUUAUAGGCUUUCUCUGUUUGAUGAAUAUCGUUAAAAACCUCAGCUGCUGCCAGGGAGGAGAACUCUUCAGGUCGUCCCUUGGAAUAUGGACUGAGGGCCCAAAGCUUGCCGUAUGGACUUUGGCUUUCUCGUGAUCUCUUCUCCCUUCCAACCUAUUUCCUGACAUUUUUCUGUGAUGAUGAAAGUCCUGAAGCCUUGGGUGAAUAGCUCUGAAGAGGCCAAAGUUAAAAGUACCCUCUCUGGCUUCAGAUAUUCUCCAGACAAUAUCUCCCUGCACCAUCUCUGCCUUCUUGUCUGUUGGGCUGGAAGUCCCAGUGAAUGUCAUCCUUCAUGUGGGGCCAUGACUACGCCAUCCUCCUGGGCAAGGCUAGGAAGGGGACAUGGUGUGGAGACUGGCGUCUGUGAAGUCUUCAGCCAGUAUUUGUGGAAUAUGGAUGAACUCAUGAAUGAAGUUUGGAAAACAUCUGCAUUUGGAAGAAAACACUCUCCCUCUGACAUCGGGUGAGUUUAAAAUGUUUGGGAGUCAUCAUUUCCACAAGGACCCCCAUUCCCUUCUCCUCCCUCACAGCACCCACCCAUCUGUGCCCACCUGGCUAAUCACAGGAGCUAUUUUUAUACCUGAUGUUGUGGGAAGGUGGAAGAUUAACAGCCCCAGAGACGCACAUCUCUGCUAUUAAUAUUAAACAGGGUAUUAAUUUUACCCGUAACAGAUAUUAAACAUG
Molecule: long non-coding RNA, 1485 nt
Organism: Mastomys coucha (southern multimammate mouse)
Lineage: Eukaryota; Metazoa; Chordata; Mammalia; Rodentia; Muridae
Exons: 2
Source: RefSeq, a predicted model, not a curated record